Molecule: microRNA precursor, 62 nt
Filed under: Pan troglodytes (chimpanzee)
Lineage: Eukaryota; Metazoa; Chordata; Mammalia; Primates; Hominidae
Description: miRNA
Rfam family: mir-3689 microRNA precursor family
Source: RNAcentral
AUACCGUGGUUCCUGGGAGGUGUGAUACCGUGGUUCCUGGGAGGUGUGAUAUCGUCGUUCCU